UUUGAGAGUUUGAUCCUGGCUCAGGAUGAACGCAGGCGGCGUGCUUAACACAUGCAAGUCGAACGGGGUUAAUGAGGACAAAAGUAUUCGUACCGAUGUAAUUAUUAACUUAGUGGCGGACGGGUGAGUAACACGUGAGUAAUCUACCUCAAGCAGGGGAAUAACAGCGGGAAACCGUUGCUAAUACCACAUAGAGUGUCGAAUAGGCAUCUAUACGACAUAAAAGGAGAGAUCCGGCCUGAGAUGAGCUCGCGUCCGAUUAGGUAGUUGGUGAGAUAAGAGCCCACCAAGCCUGCGAUCGGUAGCCGGACUGAGAGGUUGCUCGGCCACAUUGGGACUGAGACACGGCCCAGACUCCUACGGGAGGCAGCAGUGGGGAAUCUUGGGCAAUGGGGGGAACCCUGAC
Molecule: ribosomal RNA, 406 nt
Filed under: Clostridiales bacterium
Lineage: Bacteria; Bacillati; Bacillota; Clostridia; Eubacteriales
Description: bacterial SSU rRNA
Rfam family: Bacterial small subunit ribosomal RNA
Source: RNAcentral